Pelobates cultripes (western spadefoot toad) is the source of this 1187-nucleotide non-coding RNA. The record is from the annotation of a GenBank genome assembly. NCBI's taxonomy places the organism in Eukaryota, Metazoa, Chordata, Amphibia, Anura, Pelobatidae.
CGGAGCUCGGCCGCCACGCGGAGUGGACGCACAGUGCUAUGGCUCUACAGUAGAUACCUAAAUAUUUAACAACAUUUGCCCUUAAUUAUUGACAAACUCUGUGCUCUGGAUGCAUAGGUGCUGAAACCGACUUUUGUAUGUAUAGAGCUGGACCGCUCAUAGGCUCUAACCUACUGGCGACAUACUCAAGGUGUGGGCGUGGGAGAGACAGACGCUCUCCCACUGUCUGAAACAUCCUGCUAUUGAACCACGAGCCCCUGCCUCACCCCCCUCUCUGGAUGGGUGGGGGUCAUCCCGGUCCCAGGAGCCCACUCUAAGCAGUGGAUACUUACCCAUUCUCACAUCGCAGCGGUGAUAGCAGGUGGCUCCCUCCUCGUGGCUGGAGGCCUGCACAAGCAGACUGGACGCCAUCUUUGAAAAAGUUCUGCAUCGGGUCUUUAAUAGGCAGAGGAGGUCGGAGGGUGCGCCCGUCUGUCGGAGCUUACUGGAUAAACCAGAUACACACCUACCACCUCAAGUUCCCUCGGCAGGAGCUAAUAUAGGGCUGGAUGCCUGACAGAAUUGGAGCAACGGGCCCGGUGCGGUCUUCUGUCUCUGCAAAAACAGGGAGUUGGGACUGUGUGCCGACAUGACCUCCUUCAAGCUGACAGAUUCAUAUUACUAGAGCGGCUCUCUGGCCUUGCAGGUACAACGUUAUCUUGCAGAUCACUCGAUGGCAGGCUGCACAAUACCGCUGAUCUGAUUCCUGCCAAAAUGCCGCAGGCCUCGAGAUCGGGAGUUGGUUGAGGAUCUACUGCGAACUGUCUACCUGUGUCCUACAAUCACUCUAUGUUUACCUGGGACUCCUGUUUAUUUCAUAUACACUGCUGUGUUUUAUUUUACUAUUGUUCUUCUUUUAUAACUGUUUCUUAUGUAACGUGCAGUUUAGCCAACUGUGGCUAGAAGGUUUCCUCUCUACUCAUGCACCCUUCAGGGUCUGGCUAUAGCCUGUACACCAAUUCGUGUCUUUACAAUAACAAAAUCUCUUGUUCUGACUCUAUACCAGCUGACUGUUAAAUCUGAUUGUAGUAUCCCAUGCCUUUUUAUCUUGUAAUGGGUGGUGACUUUCUGUGUCAGAACGGAACCUAAAUAAAGCAUUUACAUUUUUUUGAUAUAUAUAUAUAUAUAUAUUUAGAGCUUUACAAAAC